RNAcentral lists this ribosomal RNA (468 nucleotides) under uncultured bacterium. Its description in RNAcentral is "partial 16S ribosomal RNA". It matches the Rfam family "Bacterial small subunit ribosomal RNA", at positions 28 to 507 of the family's 1533-position model. The record is from RNAcentral.
GAUGAACGCUGGCGGCGUGCUUAACACAUGCAAGUCGAACGGAAGGGCCAGUGCUUGCACUGGUACUCGAGUGGCGAACGGGUGAGUAACACGUGGGUGAUCUGCCCUGCACUUCGGGAUAAGCCUGGGAAACUGGGUCUAAUACCGGAUAGGACAAUGGUUUGGAUUCCGUUGUGGAAAGUUUUUUCGGUGUGGGAUGAGCUCGCGGCCUAUCAGCUUGUUGGUGGGGUAAUGGCCUACCAAGGCGUCGACGGGUAGCCGGCCUGAGAGGGUGUACGGCCACAUUGGGACUGAGAUACGGCCCAGACUCCUACGGGAGGCAGCAGUGGGGAAUAUUGCACAAUGGGCGCAAGCCUGAUGCAGCGACGCCGCGUGGGGGAUGACGGCCUUCGGGUUGUAAACUCCUUUCGCUAGGGACGAAGCGUAUUUGUGACGGUACCUGGAGAAGAAGCACCGGCUAACUACGUG